AGAGUUUGAUUAUGGCUCAGGAUGAACGCUAGCGGCAGGCUUAACACAUGCAAGUCGAGGGGCAUCGAGGGUAGCAAUACCUGUCGGCGACCGGCGAAAGGGUGAGUAACGCGUGAGCAACAUGCCCGGAGGAGGGGGAUAGUCAUUGGAAACGAUGCGUAAUACCCCGUAACAUAAGUCAUCGCAUGGUGAUUUAUUGAAAGAUUCAUUGUCUCCGGAUUGGCUCGCGUGCCAUUAGGCAGUUGGCGGGUAACGGCCCACCAAACCGACGAUGGCUAGGGGUUCUGAGAGGAAGGUCCCCCACAUUGGAACUGAGACACGGUCCAGACUCCUACGGGAGGCAGCAGUGAGGAAUAUUGGACAAUGGAAGGAAUUCUGAUCCAGCCAUGCCGCGUGCGGGAGGACGGCCCUAUGGGUUAUAAACCGCUUUUUUGAGGGAGCAAUAAGGGUCACGUGUGGCCCGAUGAGAGUACCUUGAGAAUAAGCAUCGGCUAACUCCGUGCCAGCCGCCGC
Molecule: ribosomal RNA, 513 nt
Filed under: uncultured bacterium
Lineage: Bacteria
Description: bacterial SSU rRNA
Rfam family: Bacterial small subunit ribosomal RNA
Source: RNAcentral